AUGGGGUGGCCUUGGCGGCAUGCAGCCCUUCGACCUUGGUGGCAGUACACCGAGUACUGCGCCCUUCGGUCUCGGUGGCACGUUGCCUUUCGACUUCGCCGGCGGCACACCGGUGCCGCCGCUCGAACUCGGCUAUCCGACGCCCUUCGUUCGCGCCAUUGGCGAUUCUUGGUAUGCUUCUACUUUGGUGUCCCUUUUUUAAUAGGGUUGUGUUUCAUAGUGGCUCGAGCGACGUUUGCGUGGACAUCCUGGGGGUGGCCUCGGCGGCACUCUACCCUUCGACCUCGGUGGCGGUACACCCGUGUCGUGCCUUUCGGUCUCGGUGGCGUGAUGUCUUUCGGCUUCUCCGGCGGCACACCGGUGUCGCCGCACGAACUCGGCUAUCCGACGCCCUUCGUACGUGCCAGUGAUGUUUCCCUUUGGUGCCUGUCAUUUUCUCCCUAG
Molecule: ribosomal RNA, 444 nt
Filed under: Triticum aestivum (bread wheat)
Lineage: Eukaryota; Viridiplantae; Streptophyta; Magnoliopsida; Poales; Poaceae
Description: partial small subunit ribosomal RNA
Source: RNAcentral